AUAUUGGACAAUGGGGGCAACCCUGAUCCAGCCAUGCCUCGUGUGUGAAGAAGGUCUUNGGAUUGNANAGCACUUUAAGUUGGGANACAGGGCAUUAGGUUAAUACCCUGAAGUUUUGACGUUACCAACAGAAUAAGCACCGGCUAACUCUGUGCCAGCAGCCGCGGUAAUACGAAGGGUGCAAGCGUUAAUCGGAAUUACUGGGCGUAAAUCGCGCGUAGGUGUUUUGUUUAGUUGGAAGUGAAAGCACUGGGCUCAACCUGGGAACUGCUUUCAUAACUGCCGAGCUAGAGUACGGUAGUGUGUAGUGGAAUUUCCUGUGUAGCGGUGAAAUGCGUAGAUAUAGGAAGGAACACCAGUGGCGAAGGCGACUACCUGGACUGAUACUGACACUGAGGUGCGAAAGCGUGGGGAGCAAAC
Molecule: ribosomal RNA, 420 nt
Filed under: uncultured bacterium
Lineage: Bacteria
Description: partial 16S ribosomal RNA
Rfam family: Bacterial small subunit ribosomal RNA
Source: RNAcentral